Molecule: long non-coding RNA, 737 nt
Organism: Cottoperca gobio
Lineage: Eukaryota; Metazoa; Chordata; Actinopteri; Perciformes; Bovichtidae
Exons: 4
Source: RefSeq, a predicted model, not a curated record
CAACAACAACAACAGGACCAACAACAACAGGACCAACAACAACAACAACAGGACCAACAACAGGUGGGUCUGUUCUGGACUACGUCAUGUUGCUGAUGCGUGCGGCUGAACUCCUCCUCCUGACCGUCAUUACUGUUCUCCUCCUCAGAGCCCGAGGGAACCAGAGACCACCUGAUGAGCACACUGUGCAACAUGACGGGGAAGGACGUGACGACACAGUGAAAUAUGAAAACCUCGGAGAACCUCAUGUCAGACUCUCCUGAUCAACUUCCACACGACAUCCACUCAGCAGAGAAACGAGCCCUCUGCUGCUCAACACUUCUUCUCAGCGGUGUUUUAAAGACAAAGUUUGUGCUGCGUUAAACCAAUUCUCUAAUGCAGGAAGUAAAUCUGUGCUUUCAUCUGAUUUUAAGAAGCUUGCUGUACAUCUAAGAACGUUUCUUCUUCUUUUGCUGCAUGACUUUUGAUCAAUCUUGGCACGACUUCCACCAUCUUUGUGAGGUCGACAUCAACAUGAAGUCCGGCCUGCAGAUGUUUCUGAUGGACUUUGAGUUCUUUAAGUUGCUUAUCAUGACUUCACUUCAACACUCUGUGUGCAGAACGACUCAUUUGACUUCACUUGAUGUGGAGUUGCUGGUUUGUGCUUCUUAAUGGAGUCAGUAACAGUGCUGUCUUUAUUAUAACUGAUGAUAUAAUCUGCUGGAAAUAAAUGUUAAACUCUCACGUGUUGUAACAGA